AUCCAGCUGACGUGUCCCAAAAUAAGACGAAACGCGCGUCCUGGAU
Molecule: non-coding RNA, 46 nt
Filed under: Schistosoma mansoni
Lineage: Eukaryota; Metazoa; Platyhelminthes; Trematoda; Strigeidida; Schistosomatidae
Source: RNAcentral